This 545-nucleotide ribosomal RNA is filed under the name uncultured bacterium. Its description in RNAcentral is "bacterial SSU rRNA". It matches the Rfam family "Bacterial small subunit ribosomal RNA", at positions 355 to 893 of the family's 1533-position model. The record is from RNAcentral.
UGGGGAAUUUUGGACAAUGGGGGCAACCCUGAUCCAGCAAUGCCGCGUGAGUGAAGAAGGCCUUCGGGUUGUAAAGCUCUUUUGUCAGGGAAGAAACGGGAUGUCCUAAUACGAUGUCCUAAUGACGGUACCUGAAGAAUAAGCACCGGCUAACUACGUGCCAGCAGCCGCGGUAAUACGUAGGGUGCAAGCGUUAAUCGGAAUUACUGGGCGUAAAGCGUGCGCAGGCGGUUAUGUAAGACAGGUGUGAAAUCCCCGGGCUUAACCUGGGAAUGGCAUUUGUGACUGCAUAGCUAGAGUGUGUCAGAGGGGGGUAGAAUUCCACGUGUAGCAGUGAAAUGCGUAGAGAUGUGGAGGAAUACCGAUGACGAAGGCAGCCCCCUGGGAUAACACUGACGCUCAUGCACGAAAGCGUGGGGAGCAAACAGGAUUAGAUACCCUGGUAGUCCACGCCCUAAACGAUGUCUACUAGUUGUCGGGUCUUAAUUGACUUGGUAACGCAGCUAACGCGUGAAGUAGACCGCCUGGGGAGUACGGUCGCAAGA